Molecule: non-coding RNA, 98 nt
Organism: Marasmius tenuissimus
Lineage: Eukaryota; Fungi; Basidiomycota; Agaricomycetes; Agaricales; Marasmiaceae
Source: the annotation of a GenBank genome assembly
UCCGUUAUGGUGUAGUGGCUAACAUUAUCGCCUCUCAUUCAUGUCUCUGCUCAGCAAUGAAAACGCGAUAGCCCAGGGUUCGAUUCCCUGUAACGGAA